This 121-nucleotide small nucleolar RNA is filed under the name Echinops telfairi (small Madagascar hedgehog). RNAcentral describes it as "Small nucleolar RNA SNORA61 (ENSETEG00000024084.1)". The record is from RNAcentral. Lineage: Eukaryota; Metazoa; Chordata; Mammalia; Afrosoricida; Tenrecidae.
ACUCUCCAGAUCCCUUACCCCUCAGAUCUAAACACUUGUUUGAAUGGCUACAAAAGGAGGAAAAGUGAAACUGAAAUGAACUUGAAUUCUGUAGUGAUAUACAAGUUCAUUUCCAGCAAGA